RNAcentral lists this ribosomal RNA (376 nucleotides) under uncultured Flavobacteriia bacterium. RNAcentral describes it as "bacterial SSU rRNA". It matches the Rfam family "Bacterial small subunit ribosomal RNA", at positions 521 to 896 of the family's 1533-position model. Lineage: Bacteria; Pseudomonadati; Bacteroidota; Flavobacteriia. The record is from RNAcentral.
UAAGACGAGGGAUGCAAGCGUUAUCCGGAAUUACUGGGCGUAAAGGACGUCUAGGCGGUUGGAUAAGUCAUUUGUGAAAUCCCGGGGCUUAACCCUGGAAGGUCUUGUGAUACUGUCCGGCUUGGGUGUAGGAGAGGAGAGCGGAACUCACAGAGUAGCGGUGGAAUGCGUAGAUACUGUGAGGUACCCCGAUGGCGAAGGCAGCUCUCUGGCCUAUUACCGACGCUGAAGCGUGAAAGCGUGGGGAGCAAAGGGGAUUAGAUACCCCCGUAGUCCACGCCCCAAACGAUGUUCACUUGGUGUCGGGAGCCUAUAUAUCUCGGUGCCGGAGCUAACGCGUUAAGUGAACCGCCUGAGGAGUACGGCCGCAAGGUUA